AACUGAGCUGACGCCUGACUUCCACCUCCACUCGCUUCUCGCAGUUGGAACCAUCCUGUCUCCAGCUGCCUGGUUACAUCGACGUGCAGCAAGAGAGGGGGAAAUCCGCCUGCCUGGGUUUUGACACUCCCCGCAGUGAUCCGUGAAAACCUCCGUCAAUGUACGACCACCCAUUAAGCGCUUUAGCAGCGAGUCCCUAGCAAAGCCAACACCGAAAUGGCCGCGUCGCUUCCUGCCGGCUUUUGUCCUCUUGACGCACUUGGGCACUCGUUGUCGGUGUGACCCUUUGUUCCUGGAGCGCCGGGUUGACGUACGACUCGGCGACGCCACGACCAGGUCCCACCACUCAUCGCCUGCACCACCACACUCACAAUAAACUCAGGCAGUGUGGCAGCGGCGAUGUAUGGCUCUCCCAGGGCUGUCUGCUGCUGCCCUGGAACUUAUAUUUAUACCUUACCUUAUGCCCUCCUGUGGGUUGUUUCAUUGCCUUUUUUUCCAUUAUUCUUUCAUGGCGCAUUCGGCAAGACUUGAUAGGGAAAUUUUUAGUAACCUAGUGUAUUGUUUUAACGUAGAAAAGAUAGAUGUGAAAGGUAUGUUUGUAUAUCCAUGUGUAUUCCAGACAAUGCCAAAAGUCAAGUCUGAAGGUUAUUAUAUAGAUGGCUCUAUUUCUGCAGUUAUUCACGCUCCUUCCUCUGAGAUCAAUGGUGACAUAUCUUUUUAUGGCCUUUUGAUAAAUUUACUAUGAAUUCGAAA
Scylla paramamosain (green mud crab) is the source of this 753-nucleotide long non-coding RNA. RefSeq lists it as uncharacterized. NCBI's taxonomy places the organism in Eukaryota, Metazoa, Arthropoda, Malacostraca, Decapoda, Portunidae. The transcript has 3 exons. The record is from RefSeq and is a predicted model, not a curated record.